RNAcentral lists this ribosomal RNA (496 nucleotides) under uncultured bacterium. Its description in RNAcentral is "partial 16S ribosomal RNA". It matches the Rfam family "Bacterial small subunit ribosomal RNA", at positions 29 to 507 of the family's 1533-position model. The record is from RNAcentral.
AUGAACGCUGGCGGCGUGCCUCAUCCCUGCAAGUCGAGCGAACGGACGAGAAGCUUGCUUCUCUGAUGUUAGCGGCGGACGGGUGAGUAACACGUGGAUAACCUACCUAUAAGACUGGGAUAACUUCGGGAAACCGGAGCUAAUACCGGAUAAUAUUUUGAACCGCAUGGUUCAAAAGUGAAAGACGGUCUUGCUGUCACUUAUAGAUGGAUCCGCGCUGCAUUAGCUAGUUGGUAAGGUAACGGCUUACCAAGGCAACGAUGCAUAGCCGACCUGAGAGGGUGAUCGGCCACACUGGAACUGAGACACGGUCCAGACUCCUACGGGAGGCAGCAGUAGGGAAUCUUCCGCAAUGGGCGAAAGCCUGACGGAGCAACGCCGCGUGAGUGAUGAAGGUCUUCGGAUCGUAAAACUCUGUUAUUAGGGAAGAACAUAUGUGUAAGUAACUGUGCACAUCUUGACGGUACCUAAUCAGAAAGCCACGGCUAACUACGUG